GUAAAAGAUGGACCCGCGUCCGAUUAGCUAGAUGGUGAGGUAACGGCCCACCAUGGCAACGAUCCGUAGCCGAACUGAGAGGGUGACCGGCCACAUUGGGACUGAGACACGGCCCACACUCCUACGGGAGGCAGCAGUGGGGAAUAUUGCACAAUGGGGGAAACCCUGAUGCAGCGACGCCGCGUGAACGAAGAAGUUCUUCGGUAUGUAAAGUUCUAUCACCAGGGAAGAUAAUGACGGUACCUUAGUAAGAAGCACCGGCUAAAUACGUGCCAGCAGCCGCGGUAAUACGUAGGGUGCAAGCGUUAUCCGGAUUUACUGGGUGUAAAGGGAGCGCAGGCGGUGCGACAAGUUUGAAGUGAAAUCCAUGGGCUCAACCCAUAUAUUGCAUUCGAAACUGUCAUUCUAGAGUGUCGGAGAGGUAAGCGGAAUUCCUAGUGUAGCGGUGAAAUGCGUAGAUAUUAGGAGGAACACCAGUGGCGAAGGCGGCUUACUGGACGAUAACUGACGCUGAGGCUCGAAAGCAUGGGGAGCAAACAGGAUUAGAUACCCUGGUAGUCCACGCCGU
Molecule: ribosomal RNA, 568 nt
Filed under: uncultured bacterium
Lineage: Bacteria
Description: bacterial SSU rRNA
Rfam family: Bacterial small subunit ribosomal RNA
Source: RNAcentral